This 477-nucleotide ribosomal RNA is filed under the name uncultured bacterium. RNAcentral's name for it is "partial 16S ribosomal RNA". It matches the Rfam family "Bacterial small subunit ribosomal RNA", at positions 30 to 507 of the family's 1533-position model. The record is from RNAcentral.
AUUGAACGCUGGCGGCAUGCCUUACACAUGCAAGUCGAACGGUAACAGGUUAAGCUGACGAGUGGCGAACGGGUGAGUAAUGUAUCGGAACGUGCCCAGUCGUGGGGGAUAACUGCUCGAAAGAGCAGCUAAUACCGCAUACGACCUGAGGGUGAAAGCGGGGGAUCGCAAGACCUCGCGCGAUUGGAGCGGCCGAUAUCAGAUUAGGUAGUUGGUGAGGUAAAGGCUCACCAAGCCGACGAUCUGUAGCUGGUCUGAGAGGACGACCAGCCACACUGGGACUGAGACACGGCCCAGACUCCUACGGGAGGCAGCAGUGGGGAAUUUUGGACAAUGGGCGCAAGCCUGAUCCAGCCAUGCCGCGUGCGGGAAGAAGGCCUUCGGGUUGUAAACCGCUUUUGUCAGGGAAAAAAAGGUUCUGGCUAAUACCUGGGACUCAUGACGGUACCUGAAGAAUAAGCACCGGCUAACUACGUG